AACGAACGCUGGCGGCAGGCUUAACACAUGCAAGUCGAACGCCCCGCAAGGGGAGUGGCAGACGGGUGAGUAACGCGUGGGAACAUACCCUUUUCUACGGAAUAGCUCUGGGAAACUGGAAUUAAUACCGUAUACGCCCUACGGGGGAAAGAUUUAUCGGGGAAGGAUUGGCCCGCGUUGGAUUAGCUAGUUGGUGGGGUAAAGGCCUACCAAGGCGACGAUCCAUAGCUGGUCUGAGAGGAUGAUCAGCCACAUUGGGACUGAGACACGGCCCAAACUCCUACGGGAGGCAGCAGUGGGGAAUAUUGGACAAUGGGCGCAAGCCUGAUACAGCCAUGCCGCGUGAGUGAUGAAGGCCUUAGGGUUGUAAAGCUCUUUCACCGAUGAAGAUAAUGACGGUAGUCGGAGAAGAAGCCCCGGCUAACUUCGUG
RNAcentral lists this ribosomal RNA (431 nucleotides) under uncultured bacterium. Its description in RNAcentral is "partial 16S ribosomal RNA". It matches the Rfam family "Bacterial small subunit ribosomal RNA", at positions 29 to 507 of the family's 1533-position model. The record is from RNAcentral.